This 72-nucleotide transfer RNA is filed under the name Treponema sp. RNAcentral's name for it is "tRNA-Pro". It matches the Rfam family "tRNA". From Rfam's summary of the family: Transfer RNA (tRNA) molecules are approximately 80 nucleotides in length. Their secondary structure includes four short double-helical elements and three loops (D, anti-codon, and T loops). Lineage: Bacteria; Pseudomonadati; Spirochaetota; Spirochaetia; Treponematales; Treponemataceae. The record is from RNAcentral.
CGGGAUGUAGCCUAGCGGCAAGGCGCUUGCUUUGGGAGCAAGAGAUCGGCGGUUCAAAUCCGCCCGUCCCGA